GCGGCUUUAGCUCAGUUGGGAGAGCGUUAGACUGAAGUUCAACUUCAGUUUGCAAAAACAAGUUAAUCUAAAGGUCGCCUGUUCGAUUCAGGCAAGCCGCA
This is a non-coding RNA of Ascosphaera acerosa, 101 nucleotides long. Lineage: Eukaryota; Fungi; Ascomycota; Eurotiomycetes; Onygenales; Ascosphaeraceae. The record is from the annotation of a GenBank genome assembly.